UUUAGUAAGAUUUAAUUUGGUAAGUUAUAAAAAUAACUAGAUUUUAUGUUUAGAGUACAUGUAUAUGGAUCCUAGAUAACCUUAGAAGCUUUUAUCUUAGACCUUAGUAUCAACUAAUACUCAAUACUAUAAACUAAUAACUAUAAAUCACAAUGUAGAUACUAUAACAUUAUAAUAUUAUUAGUAAGUACUUCUAAUAAACAACUUACUUUAAUUUAUUACAGUUCAGUUACAAUUUCUGGAAAACCAGCAGUAUAUUGAAUUUCGUCAGGCUAAGAACAAUUUAAAUAUUCGAAAUGGAGUACCAACUAGAGCAAGAAUACAGAACUCUGAUGCAAUUAGGAACUUCCUUCAGGAACUUGCUACAGAUAUGAGCCCUACUCGAAUAUUUACAUUUUUAAGGCCUGCUGGUCAUAGGGUGGAUGGGUAUAUAGCCCAAGAAAUUGGACCACAUCCUGGCGAAGAAGAGCUUCUUUUAUUUGAGGCUGUGCAAUAAAUGUAUAAAUAUUAUGUUUGUAAAUACUGUUAAUUUGUAAUAUUUUGUAUAGUUUGUAAAUUGUAAAUACUGUAAAUUUGUAAUAUUAUGUA
Long non-coding RNA from Metopolophium dirhodum (rose-grain aphid), 588 nucleotides. RefSeq lists it as uncharacterized. The record is from RefSeq and is a predicted model, not a curated record. The transcript has 3 exons. NCBI's taxonomy places the organism in Eukaryota, Metazoa, Arthropoda, Insecta, Hemiptera, Aphididae.